UACGUAGGGCGCAAGCGUUGUCCGGAAUUAUUGGGCGUAAAGAGCUCGUAGGCGGUCUGUCGCGUCGGAUGUGAAAGCCCGGGGCUUAACCCCGGGUCUGCAUUCGAUACGGGCAGACUAGAGUGUGGUAGGGGAGAUCGGAAUUCCUGGUGUAGCGGUGAAAUGCGCAGAUAUCAGGAGGAACACCGGUGGCGAAGGCGGAUCUCUGGGCCUUACCUGACGCUCAGGCGCGAAAGCUAGGGGAGCGAACAGG
RNAcentral lists this ribosomal RNA (253 nucleotides) under uncultured bacterium. RNAcentral describes it as "partial 16S ribosomal RNA". It matches the Rfam family "Bacterial small subunit ribosomal RNA", at positions 524 to 776 of the family's 1533-position model. The record is from RNAcentral.